GGAUGAUUCAUCAGAUAUGGGUAACUUAACUUUUACAAUUUAAAACUUUUACUUAUCUCACUAUAAAAUGUUGGCCCAUUUGUAGUCACUGAAUUAUUUUGCUUCUUAUUUACAUGUAAUGUCAGGUUUGCUGCAUCACCAUUGUUGCCUCAAAUCGUCAACUCUCACUUCAGACCGCUGCAAACUGAGCUGUGAAUACCAAAUUAGUAAUACUCAAGAUUUGAAGAAAAACAUUUUUAUGAUCUGGUCUGCAGGAUUUCUUGAAGUCAGUUCAUCGUGAAAUAAACACACCUAACGGCUAGAAAUAGCAUUUUAGCCUACCAUAAUGCUACAGUAAAUGUCCAUAAAACAUUUACAGUAGUUCAACUACACUGUAAAAAAAAUCCGUAAAAAUACAGUACAAUAUACCAUAAUAAUUUGAAGGAAUUUUCCAUAUUUGGUUUUUAAAGGUGUUUUUCGUAUUUUUGUAAUUACGCUUUGCAUUGUGGGAACAAGAAACUCAGUCGAUUAUCGGCGCGAAAACAGUGCUUGAGCAGAUGCCAUUAUUCACAGAGAUAGUCUCGGUAAAAAUUUCAUUUUAAAGUCGGAUUUCGGGUUUGAGGAACCGUUUUUACACUUCCGUGGUAAAUUAUAUUUUGUUAAAUGUAACAAACUGUAACGUUAACUUAGUUGCUGUCUUCCUUGUUUGCCAAAUGAAUGUCAGCACACCGUCACAUCUCACUCGACGUGGAGAAGCUGGCAGAGCAAUUUUCAAGAAAAGAAGAUACCAUUACUUUUUUUUUAUUAUUAUUCUUUAAAAGAGAUUAUAGGACUAGGUGAAGAUCUGACAUCGCGGAAUUAUUCAAGGAUAACGCAACUUUUCUGCCAAACGAGGUCGUAGUGAUGUUUUAUUAACAAGUUUCGGGAGGAGCACGCGCAGAUAAUUAACGCAGCCACUUCAUCAUCAGCAAUCACACCAUCUGUCCAAUCAGCUCAAGAGAGAACCCCUAUAAAUAAUCAAAGCAGUCUUACCUCCAUCAGUUCUAGUCUUUCAGCAUCCCUCCACCACCCCGACUCCUUACCUUCAGCCUGUUCCUACCCCAGCAUGGGGGGAACGCUCUGGGUCCGGGCUAAAUGCAGAGCUCGGACCCCUCUCUCCGUACAGGGGGAGUACCCUGGGCUCGGGGGUAAGUACCGAGCUCGGAGCCCUCUCCCUGGACAGCACGCCAAAUACGCAUAAACCUUUACCCAGUUUAUUAUAUGUAAGUGUGAACUCGUGAAAUUGCUGCUGUAUUGUGCAUCCCAAGUACCCCCUACAUUCUUAUCAAGGAUUGCUGUCAUUCAAGAACUUAUCAUGUCCUCCCCCAUUGUGGCUGAGCUACACAUUCUCUUCAUUUUAUUUUAAAUAUAAAACAUCCAGAGGAGAUGGCACCUACGUUGGAAUUCAUACAAAUUCUUCCGGUGAAGAAAUCCUGAACGAGGGUCGACGGUUCAGAUGAAGGGAACCUAUGCUUCCAAGACUCAUGUAUGAACAACUUCGAGAAUCCAUGUACAAUUUGAGCUUUUUUCAAAUCUCAACAUGGACUGAACAUGCAGCAAAAGGAAAAAAAAAAAUGUAGUAGUUUCCCCAAGCUGGCACAUGGCAAGAGAUACUAAAAGCACACAAACACUUGGAGCCCUGCUCUUAAUUUAGAUUGUAUAGUUCUCUUAGUUUCACAUUGAAAUGUUAGGCAUGAGUGCAUGAAUCUUUGUUCUUUAUUUUCAAAUGAUGUACAAGAAAGUGUUUUUUUGUUUGUUUUUUUGCAGUACCAUGUCAGUUGUAGAUGACAGAAUUCACAUUUUUGAUGUGAACUGUCCUUUUAAAUAACAUUUCACUUGACUAUUGACUAGAAGUCUGUAGCAAUUGUUAUUAAUGACAGCCCUGUCUUUGUAUUAAUUUUUUCCCAUGUAUCUGAAAAUGUUUUGAAUAUUGACUGUUUCACAGUGAAGUUUAUCUUUGCGACCACUAUUUGGUGCAACACCAAUAUUGUACAAGUAACUGCUCAUGUUUUCUUUUUUCUGCCUGGUGCCGUUUAAAACAAACACAUUGUUAAAUUAAUUGAUGUAAUAAUAUGUUUGUCUUCACCUGUUAAAGGCAAAUAAAAGCUACUGAAGGCACUUUUAAGAAUGUUUACAUGAGGUAAAA
RNA transcript from Onychostoma macrolepis, 2164 nucleotides. It is a transcript of the gene named E3 SUMO-protein ligase ZBED1-like, with no coding region annotated. NCBI's taxonomy places the organism in Eukaryota, Metazoa, Chordata, Actinopteri, Cypriniformes, Cyprinidae. The transcript is spliced from 5 exons. The record is from RefSeq and is a predicted model, not a curated record.